This 481-nucleotide ribosomal RNA is filed under the name uncultured bacterium. RNAcentral's name for it is "partial 16S ribosomal RNA". It matches the Rfam family "Bacterial small subunit ribosomal RNA", at positions 28 to 507 of the family's 1533-position model. The record is from RNAcentral.
GACGAACGCUGGCGGCGUGCUUAACACAUGCAAGUCGAACGGGAUCCGGGCUUUCGGGUUUGGUGAGAGUGGCGAACGGGUGAGUAACACGUGAGUAACCUGCCCCCUUCUUUGGGAUAACGUCGGGAAAUCGGCGCUAAUACUGGAUAUUCUUGCUGCAUCGCAUGGUGUGGUUUGGAAAGGGUUUCUGGUGGGGGAUGGGCUCGCGGCCUAUCAGCUUGUUGGUGGGGUGAUGGCCUACCAAGGCUUUGACGGGUAGCCGGCCUGAGAGGGUGUCCGGACACACUGGGACUGAGACACGGCCCAGACGCCUACGGGAGGCAGCAGUGGGGAAUAGUGCACAAUGGGCGCAAGCCUGAUGCAGCGACGCCGCGUGAGGGAUGACGGCCUUCGGGUUGUAAACCUCUUUCAGUAUGGAACAAGGAUCCUUCUUUUGGGGGGUUUGAGGGUACGUGCAGAAGAAGCGCCGGCUAACUACGUG